RNAcentral lists this small RNA (17 nucleotides) under Polarella glacialis. RNAcentral's name for it is "partial trans-spliced leader sequence SL-like". Lineage: Eukaryota; Dinophyceae; Suessiales; Suessiaceae. The record is from RNAcentral.
GCCAUUUUGGCUCAAGU